RNAcentral lists this ribosomal RNA (494 nucleotides) under uncultured bacterium. RNAcentral's name for it is "partial 16S ribosomal RNA". It matches the Rfam family "Bacterial small subunit ribosomal RNA", at positions 28 to 507 of the family's 1533-position model. The record is from RNAcentral.
GACGAACGCUGGCGGCGCGCUUAACACAUGCAAGUCGUACGGAAAGGCCUGCUUUCCCUUGUGGAUUGCGGGUACUCGAGUGGCGAACGGGUGAGUAACACGUGAGUGAUCUGCCCCCAACUUGGGUAUAAGCCUGGGAAACUGGGUCUAAUUCCCGAUAGGACUGCAGGGUGGUGCCUGUGGUGGAAAACGAUUUUCUAGUGGUUGGGGGUGAGCUCGCGGCCUAUCAGCUUGUUGGUGGGGUAAUGGCCUACCAAGGCGGCGACGGGUAGCCGGCCUGAGAGGGUGGACGGCCACAUUGGGACUGAGAUACGGCCCAGACUCCUACGGGAGGCAGCAGUGGGGAAUAUUGCACAAUGGGCGGAAGCCUGAUGCAGCGACGCCGCGUGGGGGAUGACGGCCUUCGGGUUGUAAACUCCUUUCGACCGCGAGGAAGCCACCUGGUUGGAAGGGUGGUGACGGUAGUGGUAGAAGAAGCACCGGCUAACUACGUG